RNAcentral lists this ribosomal RNA (403 nucleotides) under Fusobacteriota bacterium. RNAcentral describes it as "Fusobacteria bacterium partial 16S ribosomal RNA". It matches the Rfam family "Bacterial small subunit ribosomal RNA", at positions 355 to 776 of the family's 1533-position model. Lineage: Bacteria; Fusobacteriati; Fusobacteriota. The record is from RNAcentral.
UGGGGAAUCUUGCACAAUGGGGGAAACCCUGAUGCAGCGACGCCGCGUGAGCGAUGAAGGUUUUCGAAUCGUAAAGCUCUGUCCUAUGGGAAGAUAAUGACGGUACCAUGGGAGGAAGCCCCGGCUAACUACGUGCCAGCAGCCGCGGUAAUACGUAGGGGGCGAGCGUUGUCCGGAAUUACUGGGCGUAAAGGGUUCGCAGGCGGCAUGGCAAGUCCGAUGUAAAAGGCGAAGGCUCAACCUUCGUAAGCAUCGGAAACUGUCAAGCUUGAGUGAAGGAGAGGCAAGUGGAAUUCCUAGUGUAGCGGUGGAAUGCGUAGAUAUUAGGAGGAAUACCGGUGGCGAAGGCGACUUGCUGGACUUCAACUGACGCUGAGGAACGAAAGCGUGGGUAGCAAACAGA